This 21-nucleotide non-coding RNA is filed under the name Arabidopsis thaliana (thale cress). The record is from RNAcentral. Lineage: Eukaryota; Viridiplantae; Streptophyta; Magnoliopsida; Brassicales; Brassicaceae.
UGGAAAGGUGUGGCUUAAGUU